AUAACCGAGAGGACGGAGCGAAAUCUGUUCUCCUGCGCGGUCAAAGUCUUGGGAGGAUGCGAUCUAGGCGCGGUAACUCGCAGCCGCCGGAAACGGAAAGCAGAUCGGACGCGUUAAAAUUGCAAGGCCUCGUGCCUUGCAUUUUUUU
RNAcentral lists this small RNA (148 nucleotides) under Mesorhizobium hungaricum. Its description in RNAcentral is "Mesorhizobium sp. UASWS1009 Alphaproteobacterial sRNA ar9". It matches the Rfam family "Alphaproteobacterial sRNA ar9". Lineage: Bacteria; Pseudomonadati; Pseudomonadota; Alphaproteobacteria; Hyphomicrobiales; Phyllobacteriaceae. The record is from Rfam by way of RNAcentral.